AUAACAUCGUGCCUUGGGUGUGAGAAUGUGGGACGGAGUGCCCAAAUCAAGGAAUCGCUAUUCCCUGCUCUCCUUUCCCCGCAGAUUUGUCCCCGGCUCUCCGGUUUCGUGUCCCCUCGCGGUGGCGGUGGGGCAGUGCCGGUGCCGAUGACGAUGAGAGGAAUGUUGCCCGUCCGGUUCCGCCGCGGCAACUCCGGGCCGGGCCCGCGGUGCGGCGGCUCUCAGGGGCUCUGCAGGACCGGCACUCCCGGUCCGGUCGGGGUACCUCCGUGCCCGCAUGGCUCCGCGGAGGCUGAGCGCCGCGGGGCCUCGGGGACGCCGCCAUGGCGAAGCGGGAGGCCAACGCCAGCCCGGUGGUGCGGCAGAUUGACAAACAGUUCCUGGUGUGCAGCAUCUGCCUCGACCGCUACCGCAACCCCAAGGUGCUGCCGUGCCUGCACACCUUCUGUGAGAGGCCCCUGCCUACCCUUGGCACUCCCCUGCUCCCGUCUGGCACAGCCCUGUCCUAUCUAUCCAUCUGUCUGUCUGUCUGUGGCCCCAUGUCGAGGUGUCUCCAGAACUAUAUCCCGCCCCAGAGCCUGACCCUGUCCUGCCCCGUGUGCCGCCAGACCUCCAUCCUGCCCGAGCGCGGCGUGGCGGCCCUGCAGAACAACUUCUUCAUCACCAACCUGAUGGAAGUGCUGCAGCGCGACCCCGACAGCCGCGGCCCCCACCCCGGCCC
Molecule: long non-coding RNA, 721 nt
Filed under: Chrysolophus pictus (golden pheasant)
Lineage: Eukaryota; Metazoa; Chordata; Aves; Galliformes; Phasianidae
Description: lncRNA (ENSCPIG00010013154.1)
Source: RNAcentral